GACAGAGGAGGCAAGCGUUAUCCGGAAUUAUUGGGCGUAAAGGGUCCGUAGGUGGUUUGGCAAGUCUGGGGUUAAAGCCCGGAGCCUAACUCCGGAUCGGCCCUGGAAACUGCCAGACUAGAGUAAGGUAGGGGUUGCGGGAAUUCCCGGGGUAGCGGUGAAAUGCGUAGAUAUCGGGAAGAACACCAGUGGCGAAGGCGCGCAACUGGGCCAUUACUGACACUGAGGGACGAAAGCUAGGGGAGCGAAUGCG
RNAcentral lists this ribosomal RNA (253 nucleotides) under uncultured bacterium. RNAcentral describes it as "partial 16S ribosomal RNA". It matches the Rfam family "Bacterial small subunit ribosomal RNA", at positions 524 to 776 of the family's 1533-position model. The record is from RNAcentral.